CAGGACCCAGAAUAAGCGCCGCCUCCGCCCCGCCUCCCCCGCCCCACGUGAUCCUUAGGUGAGUGGUUCUCAAACUUAAAUGGAGAUGAGGGCACGAUUCCCUCGCGGACCUAACUCAACCCCAGGCAGUCUCUGUGACAAACGGGAAAGGAAUCCCACAGGCCAGGGCUGGGCGCGCUGGGCCCAGUGUGGACCGCACUCGGCCAUCACCUGUCUGCGCACCUGAACCCACUGAGGAUGCAACCCAGCGAGCUGGGUCUACUCAACCCUCGGACAUUGAACCUGUUGAACUUGCUGAAGUUAAAGCCCUCCCAGGAUGCAAGUGAUCCUAAAAACAGAAAUCAUAACAACACCCAGGAGUCAUUAAAAGCACCUGGAGCACGUAAUCUGUUCCAAAUGGGAAAAGCCUGCCCAAGAAGACCAGGGAUGGUCCACAGAGCCUCAGCCCUUCCCUCCGGUGAUGUAAAAUCUCCCCCUAGACUUGGCUACACAAGCCUGGGGUGCAUCUCACUUGCCUCUCUUCUUCCCUCUUUACCGUCUUUCUUUCUACCUUUCCUGGUUACCCUCUGGCUGCUGGAUUGAGGCUGAAGAUGGGGUGUCAGGAACAUACAUGUAGAGCUGCUGUUGAUGCACUUGCUGGGCAAUCUAUAUUCACCAUUCAUUUAUCCUUACCAAAACCUGGAAGGGAGGCAUUUCCUCCCGUUACACAGGUAGAGGAAUUGAGGCUAAGAGAGCUUCUCUAAGUCCUGAAGGCCAUUAUCCCGGUCACUAGGUGAUCUCUUUCUGUUUCAAAACCAAUCUUCUCCGAG
This 809-nucleotide long non-coding RNA is filed under the name Felis catus (domestic cat). RNAcentral describes it as "lncRNA (ENSFCAG00000049722.1)". The record is from RNAcentral. Lineage: Eukaryota; Metazoa; Chordata; Mammalia; Carnivora; Felidae.